Molecule: long non-coding RNA, 1146 nt
Filed under: Sus scrofa (pig)
Lineage: Eukaryota; Metazoa; Chordata; Mammalia; Artiodactyla; Suidae
Description: lncRNA (ENSSSCG00070017010.1)
Source: RNAcentral
CCAAAGCCACGGCAAUGCCAGAUCCGAGCUGUGUCUGUGACUUACACCACAGCUCAUGGCAAGAAGAUCAAAUCUUUAAUCCCAAGAAACCCCUCCUCGUUCUUCAGCCUCAGCUGGGCUUGGGCAGCCCAGCUGAGUUUCCCCCUGCCAGCACAGCCCUCCCCCGCCACCCUAGCCUCACGCUACUCUGCUCGGGGCCACCCUGCUUCUGUACCUGGCCAGGACUGGUGCUUUCUUCAAUCAGAGCCACUGAAAAGUGAGUUUCUCCAGAACGGGCUGGGUGUCACUCAGCUUUGUUUCCCUGGUGUCGAGAAGGCACCCAGGAAAUUGCUACUGAGUGAGGGGUCUGUGUUCCUUCCCCACGCGAGGCCCUUUAUCCAGGAGAACAAAUUUCGGAUGCUGCAAACCUACCGCUUGACGGAGACCCGGUGACUCAGGGGAUAGCUGUGGGCAUGGGGGCUUUCCAGCAACCUAGUUAGAUGAAACCACACAGCAACCUUCCUGCCCCACGGGGUGGCCUAUUUCUCAAUUCCUGUAGUCUCAGCAGCCCUCACUGCAGAAUUCUGAUGAGGCCAGGCCAUUUCGCGGCUGGUCUUUGAUGAGAAAAGGGAAUUGAGAUGUAGGUGACUGAUUUGGACCUUGAGAAGCUGAUGGGAUGUCACCCUGCUCUUUCUGACAGUGGGAAUGAGUCUGUGGAGAGGGGGCUUCCUGUGACCCCUGCCGGGCCUCCCGGAAGCUCGGCUCGGUCCCCGAGAAAUGAGAUGGGAAGGCAUCGCUGACACUCGGGCUGCAGUGAACUUCGAACUCCAUCCGCCUUGCCUGAUCGAGCUCGUCUAGGCGGCUUCGGGCUGGUGGCCACAGCUCCUCUGGGCUGAUGGGCAGAUGCUCCUUCCUCCUGCGUGGGGCAGGACCCAGGGGGCAGGCGGAAACCACCGCGUCUCUGAAAAAAAAGAAGACAGUGCCCAGAUGCAACUCAGACAAGAGAGGGCGAAGGAACUGAGUCAGUGCACUGUCAGACAGCCCCUUGGGAGGCUGGUCUGCGCUCCAGCGAUGCUUCAUGGGAAGGUGGAUGACACGACGGAAGUGUGUGUAGAAGAUGCAGGUUCUGUCAUAUGGUUGAGCCUGCGCUACCCCGUGAAUCCCUGA